Molecule: ribosomal RNA, 500 nt
Filed under: uncultured bacterium
Lineage: Bacteria
Description: partial 16S ribosomal RNA
Rfam family: Bacterial small subunit ribosomal RNA
Source: RNAcentral
AUUGAACGCUGGCGGCAUGCUUUACACAUGCAAGUCGAACGGUAACAGGGUGCUUGCACCGCUGACGAGUGGCGAACGGGUGAGUAAUGCGUCGGAACGUGCCGAGUAGUGGGGGAUAACGCAGUGAAAGUUGUGCUAAUACCGCAUACGUUCUGAGGUAGAAAGUGGGGGACCUUCGGGCCUCACGCUAUUCGAGCGGCCUGAGUUUGAUUAGCUGGUAGGUGAGGUAAAGGCUCACCUAGGCGACGAUCAGUAGCGGGUCCGAGAGGAUGAUCCGCCACACUGGGACUGAGACACGGCCCAGACUCCUACGGGAGGCAGCAGUGGGGAAUUUUGGACAAUGGGCGAAAGCCUGAUCCAGCCAUGCCGCGUGUCUGAAGAAGGCCUUCGGGUUGUAAAGGACUUUUGUCAGGGAGGAAAUCCCUAGUGCUAAUAACACUGGGGGAUGACAGUACCUGAAGAAUAAGCACCGGCUAACUACGUGCCAGCCGCCGCCGUAA